Molecule: non-coding RNA, 238 nt
Organism: Pelobates cultripes (western spadefoot toad)
Lineage: Eukaryota; Metazoa; Chordata; Amphibia; Anura; Pelobatidae
Source: the annotation of a GenBank genome assembly
GCAAGCUUUCUCAGACCAUUUAGAGCAUAGCUCUCCAAACUGUGUGGUGCAACACAGUGUGUUAGUCACACAGUCUGAGUGUUUUGCGUGGAGUGUCCAACAGGAAGGGGAGCGCAUUGCCCAACCUGAUGGUCACUUCAUGUAGCAUUUAAUUCCUGCUGGUCACUUCAUGUAGCAUAGCCGAGCAGGCGGACCGCGGUAGAAGCUCCUCUACUAGGUUCUGCCUGCUCAGCCUUGC